CCAUACCGCAGUUCCAAAAGGCUGAGCUGUGCAGCUUUUAAGGGUAAUGCAGUUACAACUGAUGACAUCACAAACUGCAAGUUUUGGAGCAAAAAUGGAAAUGAAAAUACAGUUUUUUUUUUAAUUUUUAGCAAAUUGUAUUACGAUAAAUGUUUCUCCUAGAUCUGUAUCUCUGGCAGAAUAAAAUACAAACUCACUCCUAUCCUGUCAAGGCACAAUCUAACGGAAGAAAUGCAUCACAAUAUUCUAGAAACUGCUUUAGGAACAGGUGUUACAAGUGUUCUAAUAUUUUGCGUUGCUUUUAGCAUCAAUGUUCCAACAGAAAGUAAACAGAACCUUCAGUUGCUUGCCCAUCAGCUACUUCCUGCUCAGGUCUGAAAGUAUUCUUUGUGCACAAUUCUAAAGAGAACUUUAACAAUUUCUUUAUCGCUUUGAUCCUACUGACCAAUUGCAGGUCUAAGUCUGCCCUCUGUGGCUGUCUACUAGACAGCCACUAUUGAGCUUCCGUUAUCCAAACGGACUUUUGGUCCGUUAUCUGACGCUGGACGUCCUCACGCUCUGCAUGAGGACCUCCAGCAUCAGAUUUUCCACAUAGGAAAUCAUGGGGAGGCCUAAUGCGCGCAAGGUCAUUAACGCGCAUGCUCAUUUGGUCUCUCCCUCCGACUGACAUCUGUUGGGGAGGAGCGUGCGCGGAGGGACAUCGGCGCUUCCUGCUAAGUAAAACCCUGCAAGUAUGGGAAAAUGGUAGCUCAAGCGCUGUAUUUAGCGCAAGGCUGACGAGGCAUUUGCCUUGGGCGGCACUUUCAGGGGGUGACAAAAAAAACACCUUGUCAGCCUCUUGUCCUGGGGAUCCCAGGAGCUGGCCACCUUAUGGCCCCCCGAGGCUGGCAUCUACUGUUAGAGGCAGGCGACGGGUGAGCACUCUCCCAAGCUCUUCCUGCUCACCUCCCUCGUGCGUACCACAGUUAUGCCGUAGCCGGGAUAUGAAGUCCCUCAUCACUAAGAGGUGCGCGAGGUAGCUGAGCAGAAAGAUCAGAGCUACCUCGCAGCCUCCAAUGUGAGCCCGCCUGCCUGUGCCCAUGCCUGAGCUGCAGCCAGCCCCAAUGGACCACAGGGAAGAAUCCACUACAGCACUCCCAAAGGAUUGGUGGAUUGAAGUUAAAUUUUUAAAAUAUUGUGUUAGUGAGUGUGUCUGUCACUGAAAGUGUAUGUUUUUG
Non-coding RNA from Pelobates cultripes (western spadefoot toad), 1217 nucleotides. The record is from the annotation of a GenBank genome assembly. Lineage: Eukaryota; Metazoa; Chordata; Amphibia; Anura; Pelobatidae.